UGAGAGACGAAUACGCAAAUAGAAGCUACCGUCCUUGAAGCAUUGUAAAUAUACUUUCGGAAACCCGUUCUGGGCACAUCACUAUACAUAUUUUGAUGUGUUUAGUAUAUAAGAAGAUUAUUCAAUCGCGUCUCGUCAUUCGUCUGUGCGUUAUCUAGUGACAAUGAAGCUCUAUGUGUUUUUGUUUGUGGUGCUAACUGCGAUGGUGACCAUGGCAUUUGCUUACCCUGGGAAGUUUAAUACGCCUGAGAAGUGUCCUGCUGGUUAUAUUCGAGUUGCAGACAAAUGUUUUACUAGAGGAAAACUGUGAUGCGGAAGAAUGGAGACCUUCAAGACUUGAAAGCUGACCGAACAUUUGUAAAAAUAAUUAAAGAAUUUAACAAAUAAAA
Long non-coding RNA from Helicoverpa zea (corn earworm), 389 nucleotides. RefSeq lists it as uncharacterized. NCBI's taxonomy places the organism in Eukaryota, Metazoa, Arthropoda, Insecta, Lepidoptera, Noctuidae. The transcript is spliced from 2 exons. The record is from RefSeq and is a predicted model, not a curated record.